CUCCAAUCUCCCACCCGAAGACAAAUUAUAACUCAACAGCCUAUCACCAAGAUUCAGCCUAUCACCUAGGUUCAUCUCAAAAAAAAAAAAAAGACCUGUGCAACCCAGGAAGUGCUGGGAAAUCUUGGUGCAGCAUGGAAAAUAUGAACACCAACCCACUUAACCUCAAGAGAUCAAUAAGAAACUAGGGAUCAUUCUUGAACAACAAAAAUGCCCCCUACCCACAAAGAGACAAAACUAGUUAACCCUCGUAUUUUAUUCCCACCUUUCCUUACUUUUCAAGGCUUACCACCUUUCUAUCCUGCAAAAUCUUUUGGAUUUAUAGAUUCCUUUCAUUCCUAAAACUACCACCACACCAGGUCCCCAUCUAUCACCACUGGGCAACCCCAACAGCCUCCUUAGCUGCUCUUCCCAACACCAGUCAAUCAUACUACUUUUCCUCAAUCAACUCCCCUCACACCUUUUUCAUCCUGGCAUUCUAAUGUUUAAGGAACCAUGCAGCUCCUUUGAAAAUACAAAAGGAAAAGAAAAUUACUUAAAACAUUUUAGUUCGCAAGAACUUUG
Molecule: long non-coding RNA, 564 nt
Filed under: Homo sapiens (human)
Lineage: Eukaryota; Metazoa; Chordata; Mammalia; Primates; Hominidae
Description: non-protein coding lnc-MAPT-2:1
Source: RNAcentral